Molecule: long non-coding RNA, 247 nt
Filed under: Hordeum vulgare
Lineage: Eukaryota; Viridiplantae; Streptophyta; Magnoliopsida; Poales; Poaceae
Description: long non-coding RNA (HVUL_LNC008863)
Source: RNAcentral
CCUUCACCACACCGACCAGCUUCCUUCUCACUAUUCCUCCUUCGAUCCACGUCGCCGAGCGUACUGCUGCUCCCUAGUCCUCUCCAUGGAUGCGACCCUCAGGCAACGCUGCACCAUCCUGGCAUUAACAGGUCGAGCAGCCCAUCCUCAACGGCGUUUUGUCCAUCGCCAGGCUCCCACAUGGAUUGAAUCGGUUGUAUCCGGGGUUACAUCGUCCGGCCAGAUAAUACACAUCUCAAUUGCAAAU